AACGGCCAUACCAUGCUAAAUAUACCGGUUCUCGUUAGAUCACCGAAGUCAAGCAUCAUUGGGCGCGGUCAGUACUUGGGUGGGUGACCACCUGGGAACACCGCGU
RNAcentral lists this ribosomal RNA (106 nucleotides) under Caerostris darwini. The record is from RNAcentral. Lineage: Eukaryota; Metazoa; Arthropoda; Arachnida; Araneae; Araneidae.